GACGAACGCUGGCGGCGUGCUUAACACAUGCAAGUCGAACGGUAAGGCCCUUCGGGGUACACGAGUGGCGAACGGGUGAGUAACACGUGGGUGAUCUGCCCUGCACUUCGGGAUAAGCCUGGGAAACUGGGUCUAAUACCGGAUAGGACUACUGCCUGCAGGGGGGGAGGUGGAAAUCUUUUGCGGGGUGGGAUGGGCCCGCGGCCUAUCAGCUUGUUGGUGGGGUGAUGGCCUACCAAGGCGACGAAGGGUAGCCGGCCUGAGAGGGUGACCGGCCAGACUGGGGCUGAGAUACGGCCCAGACUCCUACGGGAGGCAGCAGUGGGGAAUGUUGCACAAUGGGCGCAAGCCUGAUGCAGCGACGCCGCGUGAGGGAUGACGGCAUUCGGGUUGUAAACCUCUUUCAGCAUCGACGAAGCGCAAGUGACGGUAGGUGCAGAAGAAGGACCGGCCAACUACGUGCCAGCCGCCGCGGUAA
RNAcentral lists this ribosomal RNA (478 nucleotides) under uncultured bacterium. RNAcentral describes it as "partial 16S ribosomal RNA". It matches the Rfam family "Bacterial small subunit ribosomal RNA", at positions 28 to 523 of the family's 1533-position model. The record is from RNAcentral.